This 513-nucleotide ribosomal RNA is filed under the name uncultured bacterium. RNAcentral's name for it is "partial 16S ribosomal RNA". It matches the Rfam family "Bacterial small subunit ribosomal RNA", at positions 28 to 523 of the family's 1533-position model. The record is from RNAcentral.
GACGAACGCUGGCGGCGUGCCUAAUACAUGCAAGUUGAGCGCUGAAGGUUGGUACUUGUACCGACUGGAUGAGCAGCGAACGGGUGAGUAACGCGUGGGGAAUCUGCCUUUGAGCGGGGGACAACAUUUGGAAACGAAUGCUAAUACCGCAUAACAACUUUAAACACAAGUUUUAAGUUUGAAAGAUGCAAUUGCAUCACUCAAAGAUGAUCCCGCGUUGUAUUAGCUAGUUGGUGAGGUAAAGGCUCACCAAGGCGAUGAUACAUAGCCGACCUGAGAGGGUGAUCGACCACAUUGGGACUGAGACACGGCCCAAACUCCUACGGGAGGCAGCAGUAGGGAAUCUUCGGCAAUGGACGAAAGUCUGACCGAGCAACGCCGCGUGAGUGAAGAAGGUUUUCGGAUCGUAAAACUCUGUUGGUAGAGAAGAACGUUGGUGAGAGUGGAAAGCUCAUCAAGUGACGGUAUCUGGCCAGAAAGCCACGGCUAACUACGUGCCAGCCGCCGCGGUAA